Molecule: small RNA, 84 nt
Filed under: [Enterobacter] lignolyticus SCF1
Lineage: Bacteria; Pseudomonadati; Pseudomonadota; Gammaproteobacteria; Enterobacterales; Enterobacteriaceae
Description: Enterobacter cloacae SCF1 Enterobacterial sRNA STnc230
Rfam family: Enterobacterial sRNA STnc230
Source: Rfam by way of RNAcentral
UCAUCACCAUCCUCUGUAAAUGACCAGAAACUUGCCAAGACAAUAACAAAAGUCUCCCAGGGUCGGGAGACUUUUUAGUCAGUU